CCUACGGGAGGCAGCAGUGGGGAAUAUUGCACAAUGGGCGAAAGCCUGAUGCAGCAACGCCGCGUGAAGGAUGACGGCUUUCGGAUUGUAAACUUCUGUUCUUAGUGAAGUAUAAUGACGGUAACUAAGGAGCAAGCCACGGCUAUCUACGUGCCAGCAGCCGCGGUCAUACGUAGGUGGCAAGCGUUGUCCGGAAUUACUGGGUGUAAAGGGAGCGUAGGCGGGUAGCCAAGUCAGCUGUGAAAACUACGGGCUUAACCUGUAGACUGCAGUUGAAACUGGCUUUCUUGAGUGAAGUAGAGGUUGGCGGAAUUCCGAGUGUAGCGGUGAAAUGCGUAGAUAUUCGGAGGAACACCGGUGGCGAAGGCGGCCAACUGGGCUUUAACUGACGCUGAGGCUCGAAAGUGUGGGGAGCAAACAGGAUUAGAUACCCUAGUAGUC
RNAcentral lists this ribosomal RNA (441 nucleotides) under uncultured bacterium. RNAcentral's name for it is "partial 16S ribosomal RNA". It matches the Rfam family "Bacterial small subunit ribosomal RNA", at positions 338 to 795 of the family's 1533-position model. The record is from RNAcentral.